Molecule: microRNA precursor, 64 nt
Filed under: Petromyzon marinus (sea lamprey)
Lineage: Eukaryota; Metazoa; Chordata; Hyperoartia; Petromyzontiformes; Petromyzontidae
Description: Pma-Mir-1329_pre stem-loop
Source: RNAcentral
UACAGUGACCAGGUUAUGACGGAGUCAUAUCUCGAUUCGCCCAUCGUGGUCUGGUCACCCUGCC